AUACUGUUCUGCUGAAAAAAAAAAAAAAAGAAUUUAUCAUAGUUCAGUUAGUCACUAUGAAGAAGCAUCAGAGGGCUUUUGGGGCUUAGUGCAGUUUUUCUUAAUCUGAUACUGACUACAGUUAAGUACAUGUUAAGUGCAUGACUAUUUCACUGAGUUGUAGAUCUAGGAUUUGUGCACUUAGAUAAAAGUCCCCUAAAUAACAAUAACAAGAAAAAAAAUCUACUAUAGUACCCAAAUAUAUUAAUUAACCAAAUAAGGAGAGAGAAGAAACAAUUGUAACAAUGUAACAACUAAACAGUACAGAUAUUGUACCUUAACCAAUACAGAUAAGACAGUUGAUAAUACUCAAUAUUCAUUUGUGAUUAAAAAAUACUUCCAAAUUUAGUGUAGAAAUUCUAUAUUCAAAUAAAACGUAUAUACAUAAAAUCUACAGUAAACAUCCUACUGAAUCAGAAAUAUUUAGCUCACUCACUUUUUUUGAGAUCAAAAAUGAGAAAUGAUCAUUUAUUUUCACUGCUUUCAUUCAAUAUUGCAUUGAAGGUCUUAGUCAAUAAACAAGACAAAACGAUUGAAUAGCAUGAGAAAUGAAAAUAAAGAAAUACAGCUUUAAUAAUUUACAGAUGACACAAUUGUCUAUGUGCCGUAUCAAGAGUCUACAGAUAAGUUAGAUUUCAUAAGUAAAUUCAUCAACGUACUUGGAAUCAAGAUCAAUAUACUAAAAUCAGUAUGUAACUGCAAUACAAAAAAUCAGUUGUAUUAUAUAAAAUAGAAGCAGUUAUAAAAAGUAAAACAUAACGGAAUAAAGUUAAAAGUCAUUAACUAAGAAUCUAAAAAUAUAUGUAAGGAAUCUUUAUUUC
Molecule: long non-coding RNA, 860 nt
Organism: Lutra lutra (Eurasian river otter)
Lineage: Eukaryota; Metazoa; Chordata; Mammalia; Carnivora; Mustelidae
Exons: 3
Source: RefSeq, a predicted model, not a curated record